Molecule: ribosomal RNA, 109 nt
Filed under: uncultured bacterium
Lineage: Bacteria
Description: partial 16S rRNA
Rfam family: Bacterial small subunit ribosomal RNA
Source: RNAcentral
UGGGGAAUAUUGCACAAUGGGGGAAACCCUGAUGCAGCGACGCCGCGUGAAGGAAGAAGUAUUUCGGUAUGUAAACUUCUAUCAGCAGGGAAGAUAAUGACGGUACCUG